RNAcentral lists this ribosomal RNA (301 nucleotides) under uncultured bacterium. Its description in RNAcentral is "partial 16S ribosomal RNA". It matches the Rfam family "Bacterial small subunit ribosomal RNA", at positions 509 to 807 of the family's 1533-position model. The record is from RNAcentral.
CAGCAGCCACGGGAAUACGUAGGGUGCAAGCGUUAAUCGGAAUUACUGGGCGUAAAGCGUGCGCAGGCGGUUUGUUAAGACAGAUGUGAAAUCCCCGGGCUCAACCUGGGAACUGCAUUUGUGACUGGCAAGCUAGAGUGUGGCAGAGGGGGGUGGAAUUCCGCGUGUAGCAGUGAAAUGCGUAGAUAUGCGGAGGAACACCGAUGGCGAAGGCAGCCCCCUGGGCCAACACUGACGCUCAUGCACGAAAGCGUGGGGAGCAAACAGGAUUAGAUACCCCAGUAGUCCCUGUCUCUUAUAC